CGCUGAGUCUGGGACCACUCGGGGUCCCGGAGCCGGGGAACCAACCACUCUGGGGUGAAUCCCGCACGAGGUGCGACCACGACGUCCGACCGGACGGCGGGGGAGCGAGGAGUGCGGGUAGGGCGAGUCGUGCCCGAAUCCGUCAGCUCACCCGGUAGGCGUA
Molecule: small RNA, 163 nt
Filed under: Pimelobacter simplex
Lineage: Bacteria; Bacillati; Actinomycetota; Actinomycetes; Propionibacteriales; Nocardioidaceae
Description: c-di-AMP sequence
Rfam family: c-di-AMP riboswitch aptamer (ydaO/yuaA leader)
About the family: This family represents a conserved RNA structure found upstream of the ydaO and yuaA genes in Bacillus subtilis and related genes in other bacteria. The ydaO/yuaA element is thought to act as a genetic "off" switch for the ydaO and yuaA genes in its native state.
Source: Rfam by way of RNAcentral